CCACCCCUCUAGUUUUAGGAAGAGACAACACGUAGUGCACAUAAUCCCUCCCUUCGCAGCUCAUUUCUUACACUCGUUGCUACCCAGUUUGCGAAAAUGAUGAAGCCAACGUCCCCCAACUUCAUGGCGCAGGGCAUCUGGGCCGGUUUCCGCUACUAUAUCGGCCACUUCUUCUACCCAAACAUGUACCGAGAGUUCCUCUCCGUGCAGAAUGCGCACAAAGUCGAACGCGCACUCCGUUUGCAGAAGGCCAUCAAGGCUAACAAGAUCGACUACCGCGCCCUUCUCGCCCUCCCUGUCACGGACCACGCCCAUCCUUACAAGAUGGAGUACCCGUGGGAGAAGGUCAUGCAGAGCGACGCGCGCGACUUAGGCUUCUACGGCAAGUGGUAUGCCAGCAAAAUGAUGUGCUUCUACGAGGGCCUUCAGUUCCACAAGUGGGGCUGCCUUCAGGACGACCUUAUCAACGCCCACGGCUGGUGGAACCGUGCUGCCCGCACGCGUGCGCCGAAGGACAAGGUUGUGCACGGCGACCGUCGUGUGAUGCGUGCCCGUGUCCUCAAGGACAAGUACAUCUACGAGCCAAAGGAUCGGUGGGUGCACCCUGUCGACAACGUCGCAUACUUCGGUCCCUAUGUCAUGAUGGUGGCUGAUGAAUGGGAGGAGAAGUGGGGGUUUUUUGCCGGCCAGGAGGUGGAAUACUAGACGUGCACGUGUGCGCUUUGAGCCUCAUGGGCCGUACCGUCAGAGAAAGGAGGGCGCGUGUGUAGGAGAGCGGUAGCCGUGCCUGUAUUGAUGUAUGUGCCCCACUCUCUUUCUUUAUCCUCUCUACCUUCCCGGCGUGUUUUGUUUCUUUUUUACCAUAGGAAUUUAAGUGCACUUGAUGGCGCGUGUACGCUCUUUGAGUAAGAAAUGGUAGCCGGCGAGGUAAGAAAGGUUCUUCACCGAAAGGCACAGUCGCAUGCAUUUCGCAUUUGUUUAAUGUGGCACGCGGGCUUUUCAUUACGCACACUCAAGCGUAUGCGCUGCUGUCGAAGUAGGGGAGACUCCCAUCAUAUCUGUCUUUCUCCUUUUCCCUCAACCUCUCCACCGCUUUCUCGUGCUCGCUCUCUGUCAUGUGGCGUGAUUAGUAGUGCAAAAUCCAUCGAGCCAAGAGGAAUAC
RNAcentral lists this unclassified non-coding RNA (1162 nucleotides) under Leishmania donovani. RNAcentral's name for it is "gene:LdHU3.35.0170(CDS-product:Ubiquinol-cytochro me_C_reductase_complex_14kD_subunit_putative)". The record is from RNAcentral. Lineage: Eukaryota; Euglenozoa; Kinetoplastea; Trypanosomatida; Trypanosomatidae.